This 439-nucleotide ribosomal RNA is filed under the name uncultured bacterium. RNAcentral's name for it is "partial 16S ribosomal RNA". It matches the Rfam family "Bacterial small subunit ribosomal RNA", at positions 338 to 795 of the family's 1533-position model. The record is from RNAcentral.
CCUACGGGUGGCAGCAGUGGGGAAUAUUGCACAAUGGGGUAACCCCUGAUGCAGCGACGCCGCGUGAGGGAAGACGGUCUUCGGAUUUUAAACCUCUGUCUUUGGGGAAGAAAAUGACGGUACCCAAAGAGGAAGCUCCGGCUAACUACGUGCCAGCAGCCGCGGUCAUACGUAGGGAGCGAGCGUUUUACGGAAUUACUGGGUGUAAAGGGAGCGUAGGCGGGCGGGAAAGUUGAAUGUAAAAUCUACCGGCUUAACUGCGAGCUGCGUUGGAAACUGCUGGUCUUGAGUGGAGGAGAGGUAGGCGGAAUGCCUAGUGUAGCGGUGAAAUGCGUAGAUAUUAGGAGGAACACCAGUGGCGAAGGCGGCAUGCUGGGCUCCAACUGACGCUGAGGCUCGAAAGCGUGGGGAGCAAACAGGAUUAGAUACCCUAGUAGUC